RNAcentral lists this unclassified non-coding RNA (26 nucleotides) under Mus musculus (house mouse). Its description in RNAcentral is "oocyte_clustered_small_RNA609". Lineage: Eukaryota; Metazoa; Chordata; Mammalia; Rodentia; Muridae. The record is from RNAcentral.
CAUCAUCAGAACCCAGCACACCCACC